AGAGUUUGAUCAUGGCUCAGAAUGAACGCUGGCGGCGUGUUUAAGACAUGCAAGUCGCACGGGGGAAUGUGAGUAGCAAUACGAAUGUUCUUCAGUGGCGCACGGGUGCGUAACACGUGAGUUACAUGCCCUGCAGAGGGGGAUAGCCCAGGGAAACUUGGAUUAAUACCCCAUGGUCUCGCAAGAGUAAAGGUGGCGAAAGCUGCCGCUGCAGGAUUGGCUCGCGGCCUAUCAGCUAGUUGGUGAGGUAACGGCUCACCAAGGCUACGACGGGUACCUGGUCUGAGAGGACGAUCAGGCACACUGGAACUGAGACACGGUCCAGACACCUACGGGUGGCAGCAGUCGAGAAUCAUUCACAAUGGGGGCAACCCUGAUGGUGCAACGCCGCGUGGAGGAUGAAGGUCUUCGGAUUGUAAACUCCUGUCAUCUAGGAGCAAGGCAUGGUGGUGAAUAGCCAACAUGAUUGAUAGUACUAGAAGAGGAAGGGACGGCUAACUUCGUGCCAGCAGCCGCGGUAAUACGAAGGUCCCGAGCGUUAUUCGGAAUCACUGGGCGUAAAGGGAGCGUAGGCGGCGUGGAAAGUCAGAUGUGAAAUCCCGGGGCUCAACCCCGGAACUGCAUCCGAUACUACCAUGCUAGAGUAUUGGAGGGGUAACUGGAAUUCUCGGUGUAGCAGUGAAAUGCGUGGAUAUCGAGAGGAACACCUGUGGCGAAAGCGAGUUACU
RNAcentral lists this ribosomal RNA (728 nucleotides) under uncultured Verrucomicrobiota bacterium. RNAcentral describes it as "bacterial SSU rRNA". It matches the Rfam family "Bacterial small subunit ribosomal RNA", at positions 8 to 730 of the family's 1533-position model. Lineage: Bacteria; Pseudomonadati; Verrucomicrobiota. The record is from RNAcentral.